This is a long non-coding RNA of Triticum aestivum (bread wheat), 1113 nucleotides long. RefSeq lists it as uncharacterized. Lineage: Eukaryota; Viridiplantae; Streptophyta; Magnoliopsida; Poales; Poaceae. The transcript is spliced from 5 exons. The record is from RefSeq and is a predicted model, not a curated record.
AGUGGCAGCACACACGAGCAUAUGCGUGCUCUCCUCGAUGCAUACAGGCGGCGCCGCCGCGGGCGCUCCUCGAUCCAUACGGGCGGCGCCACCACCACCUGCGGCUGGUCUUCUUGUCCAGCCAUCUACCGCCCUUCUCCCCUUCCCAUUCGCUGCCCUCCUCUACCCUCCCGCCCCUAAUCUUAUCUGGCACUACCCCCAGCCUCCUGCUGCCGUGCCUCGAUCCAUACGGGCGUCACCGCCGGCGGGGGGCGGUCUUCUUCUCCGGCCAUCCGCCGCCCUCCUCCCCUCCCCCUCCCUCCUAAUCUUCUUCUUCUUCUCUGGCCAUCCGUCGCCCUCCUCAAAUCCCGCGGAGUUUGCCGGAGGAAAACCAUCCGUCGUCCGAACGUGCCACACCAGAGGGAAGCACCGGAAAGAGGAUGUUUCUAUGCAGCAUAACCCAAAAGUUUAAUUUGAUGUAUUCCAUGAAGCGUUGUACAAAGGAGCUCAACGACAACUGAGGUGCUGCUGGAAUUACAUCAGCUACUAACUUACGUUAAUCUAAUCAAUUCCUUGGCAUACUUUAGGAAACGAGGGUAUAUUGGGCGGUCUCCGACAGCCCGACGACAAUACAGAGUCGUCGUAGUUGGGUUGUGUUCAUGUAACACUGAAACUUGUCAUAGUUAGUAUAAGAAGGCACUUUGGUGUCUCAGCAACCAGGUCGACACCGACCACCAUGGUGGCUCGCAGCGAUGCCCUCCCGCCACCCUAUGUACGACCAGCGGCGAGAUGGGCGGGAACUCUUUGGCGUGCCGGCACACAGGAACGACACACGCCGUACAACCUGAAGGACAUGUUCGUCAGGCUUAACUUGACCUUCACUGACGCCACCUUGCCACCUCUGUUGCUGGAGAUUAGCCGAAGACUUAGCUUGUUGCCGCUUUGCUUCAAUGGUUGCUUUAAUGCUCUUGGACUGUCCGUAAUGAGCAGCUGAUGGUGCUUGGACGAAACAAUUGAUCAGAAAAUGGGUAGUGCUGUGCUGGUGGUCAUGUGUCCGCUGACUAACUGUAAAACACCUAAGAUGAUUUUUCCAGGACUUGAUACAUUUCAAUUACUCAUUGGCGUCUUCUUCUU